GAUAAAAGACCCCAGAGAACUCCGUUCAUGAAAUGAUUUGCUACAGCAGGGAAAUACCUAACCAGAAAAGGAAAAACAUUUAAGCAAAGUACCUUCAGCAUCAUGCACUGUUUCUUCAGACCCAUCAAAGCAGAAACUCAGAAGGAGUUCCUCCUAAGAAUUGGACGUGUUCAAGAAUGUCUUCAUCUUUUACUUCGUUUAUUCUUCCCAUCAGAAGAAAUGCUUCAGACUGUGAGCACCAGACAAAAGAUCAGGUGUUGUGUAUAAUACACACAGUAUUAAAUAAUUACACCAUAGUAUGCACCACUUUAAAUACUAUUUUCACUAAGAAUUGCUCUAGUAAAAAAGUAGGAAGACACUCUAUCACCAGUACACAAUGGCUGAUCAGCUUAGCAUUUGCAGAGAAUACUUCUUGGAGGGGGUUAGAAGACACUGUUUGCUAACUGAUGGUAAGUAAGUGAGAAAAAUACUGAGAAUUCCAGACACGUAACAUUGAAUUUGAUUUUGACUCUUGAUAUUGAAAUAAAAGAAAUAAAACAGUGAAGAAAAGCCUAACUAAUGGGCACAGUGCCCACUGAGGUACCGCUGGAGUGACCUAGAGGUUAUGGAAAUUUUCAGGACUCCUGGUUACUUCCAUGAAGCACUAGCUCGUGCUCAAGCACGCUUUAUCGCAGUCCCAGAAAGAGAAGAAUGGAAACAGCAAAUGGCAGCUGAACACAGGAGGGCUGGGAAGAAGCCCAGUUGCUGUUGCUUUACUGAGAAAGACUAGGAGAAGCAGCAGAACAACCAGAAAAUCAGAAGCAGAGGGAACUGAGAGCAAAUUACAAAAGUAAAAAAGGAUUAAAAGGGGAAAAAAUAACUGGGCAAAUGCACUGAGGGCUGAUGUGGGAGGCUGAUAAAGGACUCAGGUAAGACAGUUAUGUCACGUUACAAAGGAGCGUAACUUUACGUUUUGUUUUUGUUGUUUUGUUUUUUUUUUUUUUACUAUGAAGCCAAAGGCCAUAGCAAAUAAUAGAGUAUUGAGAAGAUCAAGGAGAUUGUUCUCUCCAGACUAAGGUUAGCUGUGGUAAAUAUUCCACUGAAAUUCUCUAUCCACCUCAGAAUUAACAUCCUCAAAGAAAUCAGAACAUUUUUCUGCACGUGGCCUGCAGCUUGCUUUGUUUUAAAGCUCUUGGCAUGUACAAUGCUGAAAAAGGAUAUCACAAGUGUUUUACUCGUGCUAGCUAAUAUACCGUUCUCUUUUGCACUGCUAAUGAUUUUGUAACUUACAUGUGGGGCAUACACCCCUGAUAAAAAAAGAUGGAUCGGCUCUAGUCCAUGCUUUUCUUUCAAGUGUACCGCAACUGCAUAGCUAAUGUAAGCUCCACAACUGUAGCAAAAAGAGAAAUUAAAGUAAUAGAAGUGUAAGUAAAAUCUGGAAAGCGUUAACAUAAUUUGAACAUUAGUGCUAACAUAAGUGCUAACAGACAUUGUAAAUAUAGUGAAUUUUAUGUUUCUGUAAUUAUGACAUAGUGAAAUUAACUAAUUCACACGAGAUGCAUUUCAGUACAGGCUAUUUUUACCAAUCGGGCCUUGGUUGCCUACAUUUACUGUAGUAGCCUCCCAGAUUUGCAGUAAAGAGAGUUAUGUUGAAUAAUUGAAACUAAGCGAUCUUCAGAACGUGUUCGUUUAAUGAUUGGUUCACCUCAUGCAUUCAUUAAGGAGUAAAUGUUGACACAAAUAUUAACACUAAACAAUUGUAAUUUAUUAGUGUAAAAACAAAUAAAUCACAGCACUGCCAUUUUCAGAUGAUGUACCUGAAGUCAUUUGGAAGUAACUUAAAAUAAAUACCCAGAGUCUUUGGGAUCAGCAGCAUCUUUUAGAAUGGUUUGACAAAACCUCUGCAGAAAUGUAUUUGCCAGUGUUUUUUGCCAAGAGAGUCAAAUAACUACACAAAGCUGAAGUGUUCCUUCACCACAGUAUCUGAAAAUGUGUAUAACGUCACCUGUGACCAAAGAACGCGAAUGGUUUUUCUUGCAGAUCUUCCAGCAAAGCACUGGUAAUUUCAUUAAUGACAGCCGUCAUGUCUUUGGCAAAAGGCUCCUUAGCACGACUUUCUCUUCCAGGAAGCCUUACAACAGACACUACAGAAGAGAUGGAAGAAGGGAUGGAAGAGUUGUGGUCAUUUCAAGUGCAAACAGUAAAAUCAUUUUCGUGCACUUUUCUCAUCAGUUCUGAAAAUACACAGAUUAUGGAAAUUAAUCCUUUUAUGGUUGGUACACUGUGUUUGCUAUUCCUACUGUUAUCAUUUAAUCCUGUCAUUAAAGACAGAUCAAGUCUCCAUCCCUUCCUUUACUCACAAAUGUUGCCUCUCCCACUGGAAUAAUCUAUAAAUGCCUUGAGUCAGAAAUUCACGUAAAAUGAUAACAAGGUCACGAUCUCAGCUGAGGUUUUAAAGCAAUUCUAUUGGUAUUAGUACCAAUAACAAUCAAAAAUCCACCACUAAAGCAUUUGAAAGAGCAUGCUGCUAUCUCCCUUUAUCCAUCGGGGUCUGCAGUUGUUCCUAGGCCUUUUCCUUAGUAACUUUGUUGGAAGCAUUUCCUUCUGAACAAAAGCCUUUUUAAGUGUUUACUUCUUUUAAUUUCUAGGAAAGGUAGAUGUAACUUAGGUAACAAGUUGCAGGAAGCAUGCAAGCAAUUUGAGGACCGGUGCAACUGCACUGGCAAUGCCCUCCAUUAAUGCUAAAUACUUCUUUUCUUUGUGGAAGGGCUGGGAUGAGGCCUUGGUUCCUCUUCGAAUAGUUCAGCAUUGGAUAAUUUUUGCACUGAUACUGCCUGGCAGCAAUGACAAUUGCUCCAUGCUCUAACUAAAUGUAAUGUCACUGUUAUAAAUCCCUUGUUUAAACUUCAAAUUUGAUAACAAGGAGUGCAGAAUGAUGCAAAUGCUUCGGAUAAAUGAAAUUAAUUCUGUGCAGCCUCCCAGUGUUAAAAAGUACUUCUUAGAUCUUCAGUGUUCUUCUAUAAGGCACCACUGAUGCCUUGUUUUGACACAGUUAACAACAGGCCACUGUGUUGCUGAGGUGCUGAACCCUACCAGCAGUUUCCGAGGCAGCAAGCAUACUACAUGGUCUUCAGAAAUUUAGCUCCGAGGACGUAACUUUUUAACUUAGUCAAGUAUAAGGUACAAGGUGGUACAGAAGCUUACUAAACCCAGAAUCCCAAUGAAAAUGUGAACUCCUAGUGGAAUUCCUUUCUAGAUAUAAGGUCCAUGGCAAAAAAGAUUGCAGUGCUUUCAAGAACGUGAUAUUCUGAUUAAAAAACGCGGUGACUGCAAUACAGACUGCCCAGCUUUCUUAACUUCUGCUUUAACUACCCAAAUGACAAACCUUCAAUUGAGCUGCUGAAGAGUUUGCCCCAUUGAGCAAAGUGAGAAGUUCCACCUCCAGCCCAGGGAAAGCAAAUCAGCCUACAGAGAGCGUUUGGCCUUUUAAAUGGACGAACAAUCGCCUUCUCCAUGCCUGGCAAAAAAAUAAAAGUAACCAACAUGAAAACACCCCAUUAUUCUAAAGCAAAUCCCUUCAGAUAAAGGAAAAUCAAACUGCAUUAAGUUUAACUUAUAACAGUGGGCUAACAUUUUCUAUCAUCAGAGCUGCUUGUGCUGUAACAACAGUCAGUUAGAUAUGACAUAAUCUUCACGCAACAAUGAAAACCAGUUUUAUAGAACCAGUUUUAUAGAAUGCUUUUAUAGAGGUGAUGGAAUAGCAUUGGGCAACACCUUUGGCAGUAUUUUCUUCUUGAGUGAUUGGCCACAAGGAGUAUCGCAAGCAGCAAAAGAAAUUGAUCUGGGGUUUCGAGAUGGCUCUUCAAAAACACAGGCUUUUAGAAGACAUCCCAAAAUAUAAGGCCCAUCUGAAGACAUAGAAAACACAGUGAUCACAUAGUUCAGUAUUCUGUCUACACAAGCAGUAAAAAUGGAUCUCCAGGGAACAGCUGGAUGCGGUUCCUUUAUGUACAGAAAACAUCUAUGAAUUUCUCAUUCAUGUAUUUAUCCAGUCUCCCCUCACAUUCACACAGUCAGCAUCCACAACAUCCUCUUGCAAUGAGUUGCACCACUGUCUGUUGCGUGAAGAAUGAUUUCCAUUCUCAAUCUGACUCCUACAACUUCUUCUGGUGUCCUCAGAGUAGCCGUGUAAGGAAUGCGAAUGGGAAUCACUCCGAAUCUGCCGCUAAGCAUUUCUGAGAUCUUCUGUCACAUUCUCUCAACCCCCACACAGCUUCCAGAAUGAAAAAGCCUGGCUUGCUUCAAUGUUCUUCAUAUGGCAGUGCUUCCGCAUUCAUGACCACGAUCAUUGCCCUUUUCUGUUUUCUAAUUUUGUUGUACCCUUUCUGAGAUGCUGGAGUUACCAGAACCACGCUCAGCUUUAGCACAGCAGCUUUAGUACUUUUGGUUACUGACAAAUAGAAGUAAUACUGAAGCAAGAUCUGUAACUACUCUGUUCUUUUCACUGAGAGGAGAAAUAGGAUCAAAGAUGCCAGCUGCGUUGUUCUUAAGCAUCAGAUACUGUCUUUUCUAUCAGAAGAGUUACUCUCAACCAUUCUUUCUUUCUUGACUUUCCUUUCCUUUAUUAUUGCAGAUUAGAUUGGCGGACAUGAACACUGAGGUGACAUCCCACUGCUUAUUGCAUACCAGGCUCCGUUCCGUCAAACAGAAAUACCAGGCACAGAAAAAUUCCUUAGAAGUGACUGUGAAACAGAAUCUAUGAAAAAUCUGCAACCAUAAGAAUAAACUCACAGGUUCCUGUUAAAAAGGCUGUAAAACUAAUAGUAGAUAAAUAUAAGCAGCAAAAAAAGAGCAACAUUUCCAAGAUGCUUAAAGUCAUCACAGGCAUUAUUUCCCACUAUGAAUACAGCUCUGUAUAUGCAAGAGCAGAUGACUGUUCAUAAAAUAAACCUACAUGCUUAUAUGUAGUCUUUUUUUACCUGCUCACAAAAGUAUGGGAAGUGCAACCAGAUCAGAGUAGGCAGCAAUUCUCACCAAUUUUAAUGCAAACGAGAAAGAAGAAAAUCUAUUGUGAUGUUGCUGUAGCCAAAAUUCUCUUGAUUUGAGGGCAUGUUAAAUAUCA
RNAcentral lists this long non-coding RNA (5101 nucleotides) under Gallus gallus (chicken). The record is from RNAcentral. Lineage: Eukaryota; Metazoa; Chordata; Aves; Galliformes; Phasianidae.